Molecule: transfer RNA, 77 nt
Filed under: Geobacteraceae bacterium
Lineage: Bacteria; Pseudomonadati; Thermodesulfobacteriota; Desulfuromonadia; Geobacterales; Geobacteraceae
Description: tRNA-Ile
Rfam family: tRNA
About the family: Transfer RNA (tRNA) molecules are approximately 80 nucleotides in length. Their secondary structure includes four short double-helical elements and three loops (D, anti-codon, and T loops). Further hydrogen bonds mediate the characteristic L-shaped molecular structure. tRNAs have two regions of fundamental functional importance: the anti-codon, which is responsible for specific mRNA codon recognition, and the 3' end, to which the tRNAs corresponding amino acid is attached (by aminoacyl-tRNA synthetases). tRNAs cope with the degeneracy of the genetic code in two manners: having more than one tRNA (with a specific anti-codon) for a particular amino acid; and 'wobble' base-pairing, i.e. permitting non-standard base-pairing at the 3rd anti-codon position.
Source: RNAcentral
GGGCCUGUAGCUCAGUUGGUUAGAGCACAGUCCUGAUAAGACUGGGGUCAAUGGUUCGAGUCCAUUCAGGCCCACCA